ACGGGAGGCAGCAGUGGGGAAUAUUGCACAAUGGGCGAAAGCCUGAUGCAGCGACGCCGCGUGAAUGAAGAAGUAUUUCGGUAUGUAAAGUUCUAUCAGCAGGGAAGAUAAUGACGGUACCUGACUAAGAAGCACCGGCUAAAUACGUGCCAGCAGCCGCGGUAAUACGUAGGGGGCAAGCGUUAUCCGGAUUUACUGGGUGUAAAGGGAGCGUAGACGGAAUAGCAAGUUUGAAGUGAAAACCCUGGGCUUAACCCAGGACUUGCUUUGAAAACUGUUGUUCUAGAGUACUGGAGGGGUAUGGGGAAUUCCUAGUGUAGUAGUAAAAUGCGUAGAUAUUAGGAAGAACACCGGAGGCGAAGGCGCCAUACUGGACAGAUACUGACGUUGAGGCUCGAAAGCGUGGGGAGCAAACAGGAUUAGAUACCCUGGUA
RNAcentral lists this ribosomal RNA (434 nucleotides) under uncultured Blautia sp. RNAcentral's name for it is "partial 16S ribosomal RNA". It matches the Rfam family "Bacterial small subunit ribosomal RNA", at positions 341 to 792 of the family's 1533-position model. Lineage: Bacteria; Bacillati; Bacillota; Clostridia; Lachnospirales; Lachnospiraceae. The record is from RNAcentral.